This 442-nucleotide ribosomal RNA is filed under the name uncultured bacterium. Its description in RNAcentral is "partial 16S ribosomal RNA". It matches the Rfam family "Bacterial small subunit ribosomal RNA", at positions 338 to 795 of the family's 1533-position model. The record is from RNAcentral.
CCUACGGGGGGCAGCAGUGGGGAAUAUUGGGCAAUGGGCGCAAGCCUGACCCAGCAACGCCGCGUGAAGGAAGAAGGCUUUCGGGUUGUAAACUUCUUUUAAGAGGGAAGAGCAGAAGACGGUACCUCUUGAAUAAGCCACGGCUAACUACGUGCCAGCAGCCGCGGUAAUACGUAGGUGGCAAGCGAUGUCCGGAUUUACUGGGUGUAAAGGGCGUGUAGCCGGGCUGACAAGUCAGAUGUGAAAUUUCGGGGCUCAACCCCGGACCUGCAUUUGAUACUGUUGGUCUUGAGUAUCGGGGAGGCAGGCGGAAUUCUUAGUGUAGCGGUGAAAUGCGUAGAUAUCAGGAGGAACACAGGUGGCGAAGGCGGUUUACUGGACCACAACUGACGCUGAGACACGAAAGCGUGGGGAGCAAACAGGAUUAGAUACCCUUGUAGUC